UACGGAGGGUGCAAGCGUUAUCCGGAUUUAUUGGGUUUAAAGGGUGCGUAGGCGGGUCUGUAAGUCAGUGGUGAAAGCCUUCAGCUUAACUGGAGAAUUGCCAUUGAUACUGCUGACCUUGAAUUCGGUUGAAGUGGGCGGAAUGUGUGGUGUAGCGGUGAAAUGCAUAGAUAUCACACAGAACACCGAUUGCGAAGGCAGCUCACUAAGCCGAUAUUGACGCUGAGGCACGAAAGCGUGGGGAGCGAACAGG
Molecule: ribosomal RNA, 253 nt
Filed under: uncultured bacterium
Lineage: Bacteria
Description: partial 16S ribosomal RNA
Rfam family: Bacterial small subunit ribosomal RNA
Source: RNAcentral